GUGCUUGCUUUGGCAGCACAUAUACUGAAAUUGGAAUGAUACCGAGAAGAUUAGCAUGGCCCCUGCACAAGGAUGACACACAAGUUCAUGAAUCAUUCCAUAUUUUU
Molecule: small nuclear RNA, 107 nt
Organism: Cynocephalus volans (Philippine flying lemur)
Lineage: Eukaryota; Metazoa; Chordata; Mammalia; Dermoptera; Cynocephalidae
Source: RefSeq, a predicted model, not a curated record